Molecule: ribosomal RNA, 460 nt
Filed under: uncultured bacterium
Lineage: Bacteria
Description: partial 16S ribosomal RNA
Rfam family: Bacterial small subunit ribosomal RNA
Source: RNAcentral
CCUACGGGAGGCAGCAGUGAGGAAUAUUGGUCAAUGGACGAGAGUCUAAACCAGCCAAGUAGCGUGAAGGAUGACUGCCCUAUGGGUUGUAAACUUCUUUUAUAAAGGAAUAAAACGAGGCACGUGUGCCUUUUUGCAUGUACUUUAUGAAUAAGGAUCGGCUAACUCCGUGCCAGCAGCCGCGGUAAUACGGAGGAUCCGAGCGUUAUCCGGAUUUAGUGGGUUUAAAGGGAGCGUAGAUGGGUUGUUAAGUCAGUUGUGAAAGUUUGCGGCUCAACCGUAAAAUCGCAAUUGAUACUGGCAGUCUUGAGUACAGUUGAGGUAGGCGGAAUUCGUGGUGUAGCGGUGAAAUGCUUAGAUAUCACGAAGAACCCCGAUUGCGAAGGCAGCUUACUAAACUGUGACUGACAUUGAUGCUCGAAAGUGUGGGUAUCAAACAGGAUUAGAUACCCGUGUAGUC